GAUGAACGCUGGCGGCGUGCAUAACACAUUCAAGUCGAACGGUGACGGGACUUCGGUCCCUGAUCAGUGGCGGACGGGUGAGUAACGCGUGAGUAACCUGCCUUGCAUUGGGGGAUAACAGCCGGAAACAGCUGCUAAUACCGCAUAAUGUAUCGGGUUUGCAUGGACUUGAUACCAAAGAUUUAUCGAUGUAAGAUGGACUCGCGUCCGAUUAGGUAGUUGGCGGGGCAACGGCCCACCAAGCCGACGAUCGGUAGCCGAACUGAGAGGUUGAACGGCCACAUUGGAACUGAGAUACGGUCCAGACUCCUACGGGAGGCAGCAGUGGGGAAUAUUGGGCAAUGGGGGAAACCCUGACCCAGCAACGCCGCGUGAA
Molecule: ribosomal RNA, 376 nt
Filed under: uncultured bacterium
Lineage: Bacteria
Description: bacterial SSU rRNA
Rfam family: Bacterial small subunit ribosomal RNA
Source: RNAcentral